CCCUUAGAUGCUCUGGGCCGCACGCGCGCUACACUGGUCGAUGCAACGAGUUUCUUUCCUUGGCCGACAGGCCUGGGCAAUCUUUGAACAUCGAUUGUGAUCGGGAUAGAUUCUUGUAAUUUUUGAUCUUAAACGAGGAAUUCCUAGUAAACGCAAGUCAUCAGCUUGCAUUGAUUACGUCCCUGCCCUUUGUACACACCGCCCGUCGCACCUACCGAUUGAAUGGUCCGGUGAAAUCUCCGGACUGGCGUGAGUCGGAGCAAUCUGACAAACACCGGAAAGUUGAUUAAACCUUACCAUUUAGAGGAAGGUGAAGUCGUAACA
Molecule: ribosomal RNA, 324 nt
Filed under: uncultured eukaryote
Lineage: Eukaryota
Description: partial 18S ribosomal RNA
Rfam family: Eukaryotic small subunit ribosomal RNA
Source: RNAcentral